Strongylocentrotus purpuratus (purple sea urchin) is the source of this 73-nucleotide non-coding RNA. Lineage: Eukaryota; Metazoa; Echinodermata; Echinoidea; Camarodonta; Strongylocentrotidae. The record is from Rfam.
GUCUUUGUAGUGUAGUGGUUAUCACGUCUGCUUUACACGCAGAAGGUCCCCGGUUCGAGCCCGGGCGAAGACU